This 491-nucleotide ribosomal RNA is filed under the name uncultured bacterium. Its description in RNAcentral is "partial 16S ribosomal RNA". It matches the Rfam family "Bacterial small subunit ribosomal RNA", at positions 28 to 507 of the family's 1533-position model. The record is from RNAcentral.
GAUGAACGCUGGCUACAGGCUUAACACAUGCAAGUCGAGGGGAAACGGCGGGGAAGCUUGCUUCCCCGGGCGUCGACCGGCGCACGGGUGAGUAACGCGUAUCCAACCUGCCUCUGACUGAGGGAUAACCCGUCGAAAGUCGGCCUAAUACCUUAUGGCAUCGUCUGCGGGCAUCCAACGACGAUUAAAGAUUUCAUCGGUCAGGGCUGGGGAUGCGUCUGAUUAGCUUGUUGGCGGGGUAACGGCCCACCAAGGCUACGAUCAGUAGGGGUUCUGAGAGGAAGGUCCCCCACAUUGGAACUGGGACCCGGCCCAAACGCCUACGGGAGGCAGCAGUGAGGAAGAGUGGUCAGAGGGCGGGAGCCUGAACCAGCCAAGUAGCGUGCAGGAUGACGGCCCUAUGGGUUGUAAACUGCUUUUAUGCGGGGAUAAAGUGAGGGACGUGUCCUUCAUUGCAGGUACCGCAUGAAUAAGGACCGGCUAAUUCCGUG